CCUACGGGUGGCAGCAGUGGGGAAUUUUGGACAAUGGGCGCAAGCCUGAUCCAGCUAUUCCGCGUGUGGGAUGACGGCCCUCGGGUUGUAAACCACUUUAGUAGAGAACGAAAAGGAGCUCUCGAAUAACUAGCUCUGCUGACGGUACUCUAAGACUAAGCACAGGCUAACUACGUGCCAGCAGCCGCGGGAAUACGUAGGGUGCGAGCGUUAAUCGGAAUUACUGGGCGUAAAGGGGGUGCAGGCGUCUAAGUAAGACAGAUGUGAAAUCCCCGGGCUUAACCUGGGAACCGCAUCUGUGACUGGUUGGCUAGAGUGCGUCAGAGGGAGGUGGAAUUCCACGGGUAGCAGUGAAAUGCGUAGAUAUGUGGAAGAACACCGAUGGCGAAGGCAGCCUCCUGGGACGCAACUGACGCUCAUACACGAAAGCGUGGGGAGCAAACAGGAUUAGAUACCCGGGUAGUC
Molecule: ribosomal RNA, 465 nt
Filed under: uncultured bacterium
Lineage: Bacteria
Description: partial 16S ribosomal RNA
Rfam family: Bacterial small subunit ribosomal RNA
Source: RNAcentral